AAAAGAAAGACAAAGGGCACCUGGUGGAUGCCUAGGCUCUAGGAGGCGAAGAAGGACGUGAUAAGCUGCGAUAAGCUACGGGGAGGUGCAAAUGACCGUUAAUCCGUGGAUUUCCGAAUGGGGCAACCCGAUAUACUGAAGGUAUAUCAUCCCGUUAAGGGAGGCGAACGUGGGGAACUGAAACAUCUAAGUACCCAUAGGAGAAGAAAACAAAAGUGAUUCCGUGAGUAGUGGCGAGCGAAAGCGGAACAGCCCAAACCAAUGAUGUAGCAAUGCAUUGUUGGGGUUAUAGGACUGCGAUAUACGAUAUAAAAAGGAAUCGGAAUUACCUGGAAAGGUAAACCAUAGAAGGUGAAAGUCCGGUACGAGUAAUGUUUUAUAGAGUUAGCAGUAUCCUGAGUAGUGCGGGACACGAGAAAUCUUGCAUGAAUUUGCCGGGACCAUCCGGUAAGGCUAAAUACUCCCUAGAGACCGAUAGUGAACCAGUACUGUGAAGGAAAGGUGAAAAGAACCUUGAAUAAAGGAGUGAAAUAGAACCUGAAACCAGGUGCUUACAAGCGGUCGGAGCAGCUUCGUGCUGUGACGGCGUGCCUUUUGCAUAAUGAACCUACGAGUUACUUUUUCUGGCAAGGUUAAGGCUCUCAGAGCUGCAGCCGAAGCGAAAGCGAGUCUGAAUAGGGCGCUAUAGUCAGAAGGAGUAGACGCGAAACCAAGUGAUCUACCCUUGAGCAGGUUGAAGGUUGGGUAACACUAACUGGAGGACCGUACCGGUAUACGUUGAAAAGUGUUCGGAUGACUUGAGGGUAGGGGUGAAAGGCUAAUCAAACUUGGAGAUAGCUCGUACUCCCCGAAAUGCAUUUAGGUGCAGCCUCAGGGGAUUUCUUAUGAGAGGUAGAGCGACUGAUUGGAUGCGAGGGCUUCACCGCCUAUCAAGUCCUGACAAACUCCGAAUGCUCAUAAGAUUACUCUGGGAGUGAGGGCGCGGGUGCUAAGGUCCACGCCCGAGAGGAGAAGAAUCCAGACCAUCAGCUAAGGUCCCCAAAUGUAUGUUAAGUUGAAUUAACGAAGUCGAAUUGCAGCGACAGCUAGGAUGUUGGCUUGGAAGCAGCCAUUCAUUUAAAGAGUGCGUAACAGCUCACUAGUCGAGCGGUUUGGCGUGGAUAAUAAUCGGGCAUAAACAUACUACCGAAGCUAUGGAACCAGUAAUGGUUGGUAGGGGAGCAUUCCAAAUUGCGUUGAAGGUAUAGCGAUAAGCUGUGCUGGAGUAUUUGGAAAAGCAAAUGUAGGUAUAAGUAACGAUAAAGGAGGUGAGAAACCUCCUCGCCGGAAGACUAAGGGUUCCUGAUCAACGCUAAUCGGAUCAGGGUUAGUCGGGGCCUAAGGGGAAGCCGAAUGGCGAACUCGAUGGAAGAAUCGGUUAAUAUUCCGAUACUACCUUAAAGAGCGAUGCAGGGACGGAGUAGUGAAAGUUCUGCUGUCUGACGGAAUAGGCAGUUAAAGGGUGUAGACGUUGAUUAUGGUAGGCAAAUCCGCUGUAAGAGUCGAACCUGAAAGUACAGAGAGCCCUCGUGGUGAUUUGAUAUGAACGUAAACAGACUUCCAAGAAAAUCUGCUAAGCAUAUUUUUAGGGUACCCGUACCACAAACGGACACACGUGGUCAAGUAUAGAGUACUAAGGCGCUCGAGUGAUUCACGGUUAAGGAACUAGGCAAAUUAGACCCGUAACUUCGGGAGAAGGGUCCCCUACUCAGCAAUGAGAGGGCGCAGAGAAAUGGUCCAGGCGACUGUUUAACAAAAACACAGGGCUAUGCAAAAUUGAAAGAUGAAGUAUAUGGCCUGACACCUGCCCGGUGCUGGAAGGUUAAGAGGAGAUGUCAUCGUAAGAGAAGCAUUGAAUUGAAGCCCCAGUAAACGGCGGCCGUAACUAUAACGGUCCUAAGGUAGCGAAAUUCCUUGUCGGGUAAGUUCCGACCUGCACGAAUGGUGUAACGAUCUGGACACUGUCUCAACCGUGAGCUCGGUGAAAUUGUAGUAUCGGUGAAGAUGCCGAUUACCCGCAACGGGACGGAAAGACCCCGUGAACCUUUACUGCAGCUUUGCAUUGUGUUUGGGUAAGUAAUGUGUAGGAUAGGCCGGAGGCUAUGAAGCGGGCACGCUAGUGUUUGUGGAGCCGCCGUUGAAAUACGGCCCUUUGCUUAUUUGAAUACUAAUUCCUUUAAAGGAAGACACUGCAUGGUGGGUAGUUUGACUGGGGUGGUCGCCUCCAAAAGAGUAACGGAGGCUUCUAAAGGUACCCUCAGGCCGAUUGGUAACCGGUCGAAGAGUGUAAUGGCAUAAGGGUGCUUGACUGUGAGACAGACAAGUCGAUCAGGUAGGAAACUAGAGCAUAGUGAUCCGGUGGUUCCGCAUGGAAGGGCCAUCGCUCAAAGGAUAAAAGGUACUCCGGGGAUAACAGGCUGAUCGCUCCCAAGAGCUCAU
Molecule: ribosomal RNA, 2478 nt
Filed under: Parabacteroides sp.
Lineage: Bacteria; Pseudomonadati; Bacteroidota; Bacteroidia; Bacteroidales; Tannerellaceae
Description: partial 23S ribosomal RNA
Rfam family: Bacterial large subunit ribosomal RNA
Source: RNAcentral